This 1766-nucleotide long non-coding RNA is filed under the name Homo sapiens (human). Its description in RNAcentral is "HSALNT0370343". The record is from RNAcentral. Lineage: Eukaryota; Metazoa; Chordata; Mammalia; Primates; Hominidae.
GCCCUCCUGAGGAGAUAACAUUUGAGCAGAAACCUGAAUGGAGGGAAGAAGACAUGCAGGCAUCUGGAGGGAGAAGUUUCUAAGGCAGAGGCCCUGAGACUGGAUGUGCUUAGUAUGCUCAAGGAGUAGCAAGGGGAGGGUCAGAGUGGCCAAAGCAGAAUAUGAAAAGUAAGAAAAGGUGAAGGGAGAGGUAGCCAAGUACUAUUACAUCAUAAAGGGCCUUCUGACUGCUGUAAAAAGCUUUUAACACAAAUACGAUGGAAAGCCACCAGAGAUGUAUGAGUGGAGACAGGCACAAUCUGACUUAUAUUUGAAAUGGAUUGCUCUGGCACUGCGGACAGAAAACUGUGUAAACGUAUUUUCUCACAGUCCUGGAGGCUGGAGUCAGAGAUCAGGGUGCCAGCCUGGCUGGGUUCUGGUGGGGGCCCUCUUCCAGGCUUGCUCAUGACUGCCUUCUCUCACUGUGUCUCUCCCGUUGUUUGAGCCACAAAAUCUGUGGUAUUUUAUUAUCACAACCUGAGCUGCCUAGACAGGAUGUUAAGACUAGAUGAUCCGGGGAUCUCUUUUGGCUCCAAUAUUGCACAAUUUGAUGUAAUAUUUGAUAAUUUCUGUCUAAUUUUGUAAAAUUUCAUGCUAGCAAUGGAACUAAAGAAGUCUUUGUUUUAGAAUAUCCUUCUGAGAGUUAGGAAUGUAGAUCCAGGCUCCUUGGCUGUUUAGCAUCUCAGGCUGCAUUGUGAUAAGGAAGCAGACAGAAGAACUGGUAUCAAAGCCAAGUGUUUAUCCAAAUUCUACAUUAAGAAUAUAACGUUUUCAGUGAAGGUUUUUGUAGAUGUGAAAAAAGAGUACAUGUGAAAAGUAAGAAAAAGAAAGCCAACAACUGAAAUCUUCCAGGAUAACACCAAAAAAAGUGUUCCAACCUUGGCUUGGCUACAUGGAACACAGAAGGCAUCUACCAUGGUACCAAGGCAUGAAACAGAUGAGCCAGGACUCCCCAGCCCUUCAAUCAGCAGGUGGGCUGCAGCCACACAAAGGCUCACCACCUGAGGAACGACGUCUUGGCUGCAGGGUAACUUACUGAGUGUGGAUGAGCACGUGCUGCUUGAGGUCCUGCCUCCGCAUAAACAACUUGUCACAGUAAUCACACUUAAGAUUCUUCUCCCCAGUGUGGAUAACCAUGUGGGACUCCAGGUGAGCCUUCUGGGUGAAAGACUUGUCACACAAGGUACACCUGUAGUUCUUCUGACCUGCAAUCAGCCCAAAGUAUUACACCGUGAAGAAAACAACUGCUGGCAUCCCCAAGACACACAGGCACACAUAUGUGCAUGCAGCAGAGGCAGGAAUGAAACAGAGCUGACUGGGUCUUGCUCAGUAGCUGCAAGCUGGAGUGCAGUGGCGUGAUCACAGCUGACUGCUGCCUCUACCUCCUAGGCUCAUGAGAUCUUCCCACCUCAGCCCCCAAGCAGCUGGGACCACAGAUUCUAAGAAGCAAUCCCGGAAGAAGGCAAGAAUCAAGAUACUAAGCUCUAUCUUCCCUACUCAUUUAGGGUAAAAUAAUUUCCUACACAGUUCUACAGUUUAUGUGUGUGUUUCUAACUGACCUAUGCAACCAUCUGCCAGUUGCUGAUUUUACACCUUUUUCUUCGCAUAAAAUAUAAUAAACUAACUGAAAUGCAGCCACUUUGAAAAAUGCAGUGGGGCUUCAAUAAUUUCAAUGAAUUUGUGCCUUAUCUUCCUUAUUCUAAACAUACGGCCUUUGAAAGGGCCUU